Long non-coding RNA from Gadus macrocephalus (Pacific cod), 1066 nucleotides. RefSeq lists it as uncharacterized. The record is from RefSeq and is a predicted model, not a curated record. Lineage: Eukaryota; Metazoa; Chordata; Actinopteri; Gadiformes; Gadidae. The transcript is spliced from 3 exons.
UUGCUCUACAGAAAUGGAAGGAGGAAAGAGGAAAAUAAGGAACCAAUGAGAGGAUCUUCAGGGAUGGCUGAUGCAACACAUUUUUACUUCAAUACGGACAUGUGCAAACAACCAAUGCAGAUAUGUGAAUACUCCAUGUGUAUGAAUUGGGUUUUUGUCCUACCUGUAGAUGAAGUGCUCGAAGGCUCUCAGGCAGGGGUGUGGGAAUAUAACUCAGAUGGUUGUUGGACAAAUAAAGGAACUCUAGUUGGCUCAUAUCCUGAGGUUGGAACAGAAGAGACAAGGGAGAACAACAACAUAUGGGAGAAAUAGUGUUGCAGAAAAUGCCAUCUCAUUCUGUACAACGGAUGCUGAAAGUGGUUGGGAUCAGACAGCCCUGCUUUCCUCCAUGGUCUAUCUGAUGCGUUGAAAGACUAGCUGGCUGCAAUGUCCUCUCCUCUGAGAGUCCUGAGCCGAUGCAGUAUGGGCGUACCCGCCUCUCUCAAGCAGGGAGGGAUCGCCGAUGGAGGGAAAAGUGCUGCAUCUAUUCUGGUCACUUCAGACGUUCUUACCCAUAGCUCCUGGGAACCAGUACCAUCCAGCUGAGGGAGGGCUGUGACGCUGGUGCAGGAGUCUCCCUUUCAGGAACCACCACCCUAUUGGGAGAGCAGAGUCUCUCCUCUGAGGCAUUGGUAGACUCCGGCGCUGAUUUUCUUUUUCGCUGCAGGUCAGUCUUGCCCAGACACUAAAGAUUCCCCCAACAAUUCUCUGCCCUGGACGGCCAAAGUCUCGGUGACAGGAGAGUGACCUCCACCACGUCCCCGCUACGUCUUCAUGUCGGGAACCAUCAGGAGGAGAUUCCUUUCCAUUUAAUAAAUUCUCCAAUUUGUGGUGGUCUUGGGUUGUCAGUGGCUGAAUCUCCACAGUCCUGACAUUGAUUGGAUAACCGGGACAUCUCCUAACCUGGAUUAUCUCUUGGAUUUUGUCCUAUGAUCCAAUUUGAUUUUUUUUGUUCAUUCUACUGGAAUACUGUACAUUUUCUGGAGUUUAAAUUGCUCCUAACUUGAGUAAAACCCGUUCCUUGGUG